GACGAACGCUGGCGGCGUGCUUAACACAUGCAAGUCGAACGGAAAGGCCUGCUUUCCCUUGUGGAUUGCGGGUACUCGCGUGGCGAACGGGUGAGUAACACGUGAGUGAUCUGCCCCCAACUUGGGUAUAAGCCUGGGAAACUGGGUCUAAUUCCCGAUAGGACUGCAGGGUGGUGCCUGUGGUGGAAAACGAUUUUCUAGUGGUUGGGGAUGAGCUCGCGGCCUAUCAGCUUGUUGGUGGGGUAAUGGCCUACCAAGGCGGCGACGGGUAGCCGGCCUGAGAGGGUGGACGGCCACAUUGGGACUGAGAUACGGCCCAGACUCCUACGGGAGGCAGCAGUGGGGAAUAUUGCACAAUGGGCGGAAGCCUGAUGCAGCGACGCCGCGUGGGGGAUGACGGCCUUCGGGUUGUAAACUCCUUUCGACCGCGAGGAAGCCACCUGGUUGGAGGGGUGGUGACGGUAGUGGUAGAAGAAGCACCGGCUAACUACGUG
This 494-nucleotide ribosomal RNA is filed under the name uncultured bacterium. RNAcentral's name for it is "partial 16S ribosomal RNA". It matches the Rfam family "Bacterial small subunit ribosomal RNA", at positions 28 to 507 of the family's 1533-position model. The record is from RNAcentral.